RNAcentral lists this ribosomal RNA (468 nucleotides) under uncultured bacterium. RNAcentral's name for it is "partial 16S ribosomal RNA". It matches the Rfam family "Bacterial small subunit ribosomal RNA", at positions 28 to 507 of the family's 1533-position model. The record is from RNAcentral.
GACGAACGCUGGCGGCGUGCUUAACACAUGCAAGUCGAACGGAAAGGCCCUGCUUUUGUGGGGUGCUCGAGUGGCGAACGGGUGAGUAACACGUGAGUAACCUGCCCUUGACUUUGGGAUAACUUCAGGAAACUGGGGCUAAUACCGGAUAGGAGCUCCUGAUGCAUGGUGGGGGUUGGAAAGUUUCGGCGGUUGGGGAUGGACUCGCGGCUUAUCAGCUUGUUGGUGGGGUAGUGGCUUACCAAGGCUUUGACGGGUAGCCGGCCUGUGAGGGUGACCGGCCACAUUGGGACUGAGAGACGGCCCAGACUCCUACGGGAGGCAGAAGUGGGGAAUAUUGCGCAAUGGGGGGAAGCCUGAUGCAGCAACGUCGCGUGCGGGAUGACGGCCUUCGGGUUAUAAACCGCUUUCGCCUGUGACGAAGCGUGAGUGACGGUAAUGGGUAAAGAAGCACCGGCUAACUACGUG